CAGCAGCCGCGGUAAUACGUAGGUGGCAAGCGUUAUCCGGAAUUAUUGGGCGUAAAGCGCGCGUAGGCGGUUUUUUAAGUCUGAUGUGAAAGCCCACGGCUCAACCGUGGAGGGUCAUCGGAAACUGGAAAACUUGAGUGCAGAAGAGGAAAGUGGAAUUCCAUGUGUAGCGGUGAAAUGCGCAGAGAUAUGGAGGAACACCAGUGGCGAAGGCGACUUUCUGGUCUGUAACUGACGCUGAUGUGCGAAAGCGUGGGGAUCAAACAGGAUUAGAUACCCCUGUAGUCCCUGUCUCUUAUAC
RNAcentral lists this ribosomal RNA (301 nucleotides) under uncultured bacterium. Its description in RNAcentral is "partial 16S ribosomal RNA". It matches the Rfam family "Bacterial small subunit ribosomal RNA", at positions 509 to 807 of the family's 1533-position model. The record is from RNAcentral.